This is a long non-coding RNA of Cyprinus carpio (common carp), 205 nucleotides long. RefSeq lists it as uncharacterized. The record is from RefSeq and is a predicted model, not a curated record. The transcript is spliced from 2 exons. NCBI's taxonomy places the organism in Eukaryota, Metazoa, Chordata, Actinopteri, Cypriniformes, Cyprinidae.
UGAUCUGUCAGAUGGACUGGGAGACCACAAUAAAUGCACAAAAACUGAUGUCACAGUCCUCAGUAAUGUUGCCCAAACAUUAAAGCAUCCAGCCAUUGAGGAGCCAUCCAAGAUGUGGUGUCCACAGCUGCAAUCAUGUUUCUGUAAACAAGCGUGACAUUCCUACCAUUAUUGACCUAAAUAAAAAAAAAAUGGUCCACCCUGA